Molecule: small RNA, 1763 nt
Filed under: Saccoglossus kowalevskii
Lineage: Eukaryota; Metazoa; Hemichordata; Enteropneusta; Harrimaniidae
Description: dopamine transporter-like protein
Source: RNAcentral
GUUUAAUAUUGCGUUCGGGUUGUAUGGGUAUAAACCACUAACGUACGAUGACUACGUGUACCCGCCCUGGGCUAACGCUGUGGGAUGGAUGCUAGCCAUAUCAUCUAUGUCAUGCAUACCCAUAUUUGCGGUCUAUAUUCUGAUCACAACGCCAGGAACGUUGAAGGAGCGCCUCGUGAAAGCCACUAAAACACCCAACCAACGUGCCGCCCGGGAAGCAUACGACAGAGUUGGACAAAUAAAUGGCAACGUGGCCGACUUCAAAUUGGAUUCCAGCCAGUGCAAGAUUGAUCAUGUCUAGAUAGGAUGGUUGUGAUGGUGUAGAGUUUACGUCAUGGACUCAGUGCUUGAUAUGAGGAUACAAUCUUGAAAGCACAACUUUAGUCUAAACUUAUCUAAGCAAUACCUCCAAAGAGUACCACUCUUAUAGUAUUACCUCCCGGUUGUAAAAAUGCAAUUUGCUGGACCAAGUUAGCUAUUUAUUAUGCACGUAUUUAACAAAACGACCAAGAUACAUUUUUUUUUACUUUUUAAAUGGUAGAGUACAUAUAAAGAUUCACCCUAAUUAUUGGUAUCUCUAAAUUCGUCGUACUUUGUGUACGUUAUUCCUCUCGAUGAUUGUUAUAUUUUGAUGUUCAUAUACUAAACAAAAGUAGAGAGCGAUGACUCAAUUCCAAUUUAAAUGUUAUUAAAAUAAUAUUUUUUUUUACAAUGUAAUAUAAGAGAGUUACGUAUUUUAAACAUUCCCGCACAUGUGGUUAAGUUCGACUAUCAUGUGUUCACACGUGAAUAUGUUCUACAAGCCCGUGUCAAUGUGAUUAUGUUCUAUCUCGUGUUCAUACGCGAGUUUGUUCUACUAUUUCCUGUUCACACCCAUAUGUGUCGAUUCCAUUGUUAUAUUGUACCGUGUUUGUAGGUAACACCUAUACCUGUCUUAGAUAUUUAUAUAAUUGUAUGUUUCAGUUUACGUAUGUCGACAAUCAUUGAUCUUGUCUCAAUUCGUUGACGAUUUUGUAUUUGUACCUUUGGCUAUUCUCCUACCAAAACCGCUGACUUUUCAUUAAAAAUGCCCUAUUUUGUCAGUCUGACAUUGGCAAUUAGUACGGAAACAUACCGACUGUUAUAUGUUUGAGCAUUUGUGUCAUACCAAACUGCCUAUACUAUUACGUUUUGUGUGAAUUUUGUUCUCGGUUUAUUUAAUAUAUAGUAUGUGGGUUUAUUAUCCAGUGUCACUUUGCUAUGCAAACAAACACCUUUUAUUCGCCGUCGCUAAUAUUGUUAGUUUGUCAUUGUACCAGAGGGGCGACACGUUAAGCGCAGCUCAAAUUUCGAGAUAAUUUCUUUUGUUACAGAAUCAAGAACCUCCAUGAUAAGUAUAGUUUGUCACGGUGCCAUGUUAACCCCUGUUCUGUAUUCAUCGAUUCCAAUUUGGCUAUAAGUGUGACUCUGUAUCGGUUACUUUGUCAAAUGUAUUAAACUGUAUCGUAUCAACCAAACGUAACUCAGAAAUGUUUUUUUUGUUCGAAUAAGAGACCCAUCAAUAGAGGGCGUACUGUGGAAGUGUGUUCUAUUGUACAUAUAUAAAUAUAUCGUGCGUGUAAGAAAAGUCGGUGAUCUUGGGAAUCCAUUUUUCCCAGCUUUGUUUUAUACAUUUUGUAAGUACCUUAAUAUGUAAAUUACAUGUUUAAACGUGAUAUUUCAAUGUAUACAUUAUCAAUAUUGACCAAUAAACAAUUGUUUGUAGUGUGAGACAUAUAUAUAUA